RNAcentral lists this ribosomal RNA (487 nucleotides) under uncultured bacterium. RNAcentral describes it as "bacterial SSU rRNA". It matches the Rfam family "Bacterial small subunit ribosomal RNA", at positions 28 to 507 of the family's 1533-position model. The record is from RNAcentral.
GAUUAACGCUAGCGCAGGCCUAAUACAUGCAAGUUGAACGGGAUUAGUUGUAGCAAUACGAUUAUGAGAGUAGCGCACGGGUGCGUAACACGUAUGCAACCUACCUAUAACGUGGGGGAUAGCCUACCCGAAAGGGAGAUUAAUACCGCAUAACAUUAUGAAGUGGCAUCACUUUAUACUUAAACCUCGAGGGGGUUAUAGAUGGGCAUGCGUCCGAUUAGCUAGUUGGUGAGGUAAUGGCUCACCAAGGCUCCGAUCGGUAGGGGGUCUGAGAGGAUGAUCCCCCACACUGGUACUGAGACACGGACCAGACUCCUACGGGAGGCAGCAGUAAGGAAUAUUGGACAAUGGGCGCAAGCCUGAUCCAGCCAUGCCGCGUGAAGGAUGAAGGCCCUAUGGGUCGUAAACUUCUUUUAUACCGGGAAAAAACCCCCCGAUGCGUCGGGGGUUGAUGGUACUGUAAGAAUAAGGGUCGGCUAACUUCGUG